CUUACCAGGUCCAGACACAGUUAGGAUUGACAGAUUGAGAGCUCUUUCUUGAUUCUGUGGGUGGUGGUGCAUGGCCGUUCUUAGUUGGUGGAGUGAUUUGUCUGGUUAAUUCCGAUAACGAACGAGACCUCAGUUUAUUAAUUAAAUAAAAAAAUAUAAGCAAUAUAAGGGUUAAAGAGAAAAGAAAAUUAUAUUUAUAUAAUUUUGUUUCUUUUUAAAACUUGUUUAUAUUUAUUUUUAUUUUCUUAAAAAGACACUUGGUGUUUAACCAAGGGAAGUUUGAGGCAAUAACAGGUCUGUGAUGCCCUUUAGAUGUUCUGGGCCGCACGCGCGCUACACUGAUAAAAUCAAUAAGUUACAUUUAAAAAACCUUAAUAGAAAUAUUUGGGUAAACUUUGAAAAUUUUAUCGUGCUGGGGAUUGACAAUUGUAAUUAUUUGUCAUCAACGAGGAAUUCCUAGUAAACGUAAGUCAUCAGCUUACGUUGAUUACGUCCCUGCCCUUUGUACACACCGCCCGUC
RNAcentral lists this ribosomal RNA (520 nucleotides) under Korotnevella stella. RNAcentral describes it as "bacterial SSU rRNA". It matches the Rfam family "Eukaryotic small subunit ribosomal RNA", at positions 1214 to 1677 of the family's 1831-position model. The record is from RNAcentral. Lineage: Eukaryota; Discosea; Flabellinia; Dactylopodida; Paramoebidae.